RNAcentral lists this unclassified non-coding RNA (382 nucleotides) under uncultured Gammaproteobacteria bacterium. RNAcentral describes it as "contains 16S-23S intergenic spacer region". Lineage: Bacteria; Pseudomonadati; Pseudomonadota; Gammaproteobacteria. The record is from RNAcentral.
UCCGGUUUAUCACCGGCAGUCUCCUUAGAGUUCCCACCUUUACGUGUUGGCAACUAAGGACAAGGGUUGCGCUCGUUACGGGACUUAACCCAACAUCUCACGACACGAGCUGACGACAGCCAUGCAGCACCUGUGUUAUAGCUCCCUUGCGGGCACGUCCGAAUCUCUUCAGACUUCUAUACAUGUCAAGGGUAGGUAAGGUUCUUCGCGUUGCAUCGAAUUAAACCACAUGCUCCACCGCUUGUGCGGGUCCCCGUCAAUUUCUUUGAGUUUUAAUCUUGCGACCGUACUCCCCAGGCGGAGAACUUAACGCGUUAGCUUCGAUACGAAAUAGGUUUAACCUAUCCCUCAUCUAGUUCUCAUCGUUUACAGCGUGGACUAC